UGCUGGCCAUUCCGAACAUUAUCGAAAUAGUAAGAACAUAUAAACUAGUAAGAACAUAUAAACUAGUAAGAACAUAUAAACUAGUAAGAACAUAUAAAAAGGAAAUCAUUCAACACCGACCUGCCUCGGACCUCCUGAGAAAAGGGAAGCGAUUAUCCUCAGCAAACCUCAAAAGGCAGUAUGCAGAGGCUGUGUGAACUACAGCUAUCGAGUAGUAAGAUUUGUGAAGUGACUAAAAUGCUACAACUAUCGAAUAGCAAGAUUUGUGAAGUGACUGAAAUGACUGCAUAUGUUGCAAAUUCAAAGCCAAACAAUUCAAUAGAGAUGACCACCACAGGUAAUCGAUCCAAGAUAGCCACCUAGUGACACCUAUAUCCCAACUAAAUACUAGAAAUUUAUUACAACUCAAUACCAGAGGGCUAAAUCUAUGGUAAACUGGAAGAGAGUGUUCUUGUGUUAAGAAAAUCCAGACAGAGCUAAAGUGCAAAACGUCUUCAACGAAAAUAUCCUCCACUUCGUCAUACGAGUAUUUCGACUUUUGACUCUUUACACUCCUAGAUGGGAGUCGGACAGCAUCUAGGUUACGACUCAUAGUACUAUUAUCUUUCCAUGUUUUACACUACGGUCUGUAUUGCAGCUCUCAUUACUAAUGAAAAUACUGCAGAGCCAAGUAUCUAUGGUGUUGUAAUCAGUUCAGUAUAAUCCUUCUGAAAACGACUUCUCUAUGGACCUUUUCACGGGUACCGUUGCUUUAAGAGAUCCAACUUUCUUUCUCUCAGAAAUUCAAUGCUGUUUUCAUCAGAUUAUAUAUAUACAGGGGCUGGACAACAUAAUGGAAACAACUAUCAUCAUAGCAUCAUCAUUUUGAAAUAUCUAUAAAACUGCCAAAAGCUUG
This is a long non-coding RNA of Octopus bimaculoides (California two-spot octopus), 895 nucleotides long. The record is from RefSeq and is a predicted model, not a curated record. Lineage: Eukaryota; Metazoa; Mollusca; Cephalopoda; Octopoda; Octopodidae.